RNAcentral lists this ribosomal RNA (1408 nucleotides) under uncultured organism. RNAcentral describes it as "bacterial SSU rRNA". It matches the Rfam family "Bacterial small subunit ribosomal RNA". The record is from RNAcentral.
GGUGUGCCUUAGGCAUGCAGUCGGACGAGAAUCUUAUCUUCGGAUAGAGGAUAGUGGCAGACGGGUGAGUAACGCGUGGGAAUCUACCCAUUAGUGGGGAAUAGCCCCUCGAAAGAGGGAUUAAUACCGCAUAAGCUCUACGGAGGAAAGUCUUCGGACGCUGAUGGAGGAGCCCGCGUCCUAUCAGGUAGUUGGUGAGUUAAAAGCCUACCAAGCCUAUAACGGGUAGCCGGUGUGAGAGCACGACCGGCCACAAGGUCACUGAAACACGGGGCCUACACCUACGGGUGGCAGCAACCGGGAAUCUUGCGCAAUGGGCGAAAGCCUGACGCAGCGACACCGCGUGUGGGAAGAAGCUCUUUGAAGUGUAAACCACUGUGGCGAGGGAAGAAUUUUGACGGUACCUCGCUAGAAAGCACCUGCUAACUACGUGCCAGAAGCCUCGGUAAUACGUAGGGUGCAAGCGUUAUCCGGAUUUACUGGGCGUAAAGGGUUUCGUCGGCGUUUUCGUAAGUUUAUUGUUUAAACCUGGGGCUCAACUCCAGAAAGGCAAUAAAUACUGCAAAAAUUGAGUCUGUUCGGGGAAGCUGGAAUUCUCGGUGGAGGGGUGAAAUCCGUAGAUAUCGAGAGGAACACCAUACGCGAAAGCAGGUUUCUAGAACAGUACUGACGCUCAUGAACGAAAGCUUGGGGAGCAAAAGGGAUUAGAGACCCCUGUAGUCCAAGCCGUAAACGAUCCUCGCUAGUUGCUUGUUCCUUAAGGAAUGGGUAGCGUAAGCUAACGCGUUAAGCGGGGCGCCUGGGGAUUACAGCCGCAAGGCUAAAACUCAAAGGAAUUGACGGGGGAGCGCACAACCGGUGGAGCAUGUGGUUUAAUUCGAUACAAAGCGAAGAACCUUACCUGGGUUUGACAUCCCGCUGCACGCUCUAAGAAAUUAGAGUUCUUUCGAAGGGGCGGGACAGGUGAUGCAUGGCUGUCGUCAGCUCGUGUCGUGAGACGUCCGCUUAAGUGCGGUAACGAGCGCAACCCUUAUUGUCAGUUAUAUUUGUCUGACAAAACUGCUUCGCUUAUGGCGAGGAGGAAGGAGAGGACGACGUCAAGUCAGCAUGUCCCUUAUAUCCAGGGCGACACACAUCCUACAAUGGAGCCGACAACGGGUAGCGACAGGGUAACCUCGAGCCAAUCCCAAUAAACGGCCCCUCAGUUCAGAUUGUGGGCUGCAACCCGCCCACAUGAAGUCGGAAUCGGUAGUAAUCGCAAAUCAGCAGGUUGCGGUGAAUACGUUCUCGCUCCUUGUACACACUGCCCGUCAAGCCAGCAAAGUCAGCAGCACCCGAAGCGGAUGACUCUAACUUCUUUUGAAGAGGAGCUCUGUUACGGUGAAGUUGGCGAUGAGGACUAAGUCGU